UCCUACGGGAGGCAGCAGUAGGGAAUCUUCCCCCAUGGGCGAAAAUCUGACGGAGCAACGCCGCGUGAGUGAAGAAGGUUUUUGGAUCGUAAAGCUCCGUUCAUAGGGAAGAACAAGUACCGUUCGAAUAGGGCGGUACCUGACGUACCUACCA
Molecule: ribosomal RNA, 154 nt
Filed under: Rossellomorea aquimaris
Lineage: Bacteria; Bacillati; Bacillota; Bacilli; Caryophanales; Bacillaceae
Description: Bacillus aquimaris partial 16S ribosomal RNA
Rfam family: Bacterial small subunit ribosomal RNA
Source: RNAcentral